RNAcentral lists this long non-coding RNA (899 nucleotides) under Zostera marina. RNAcentral describes it as "long non-coding RNA (ZMAR_LNC004738)". The record is from RNAcentral. Lineage: Eukaryota; Viridiplantae; Streptophyta; Magnoliopsida; Alismatales; Zosteraceae.
AGUGACUAAUUAAUACUAUCUUAUGAUUUUAAUAAAUUCGGUUUUCUCAACUACCGGUUCACGUUGGUUUAGGCGACUAAACCUAGCUCUUCCCCUCUUCUUGACGCAAGGCAUUUAUGGCAGACGAUUAUGCCAAAUAGGCUCCGGUCAUCUCUCUUCUAUUGAGCAAUCAGAUUUUGCGUCCAGUUCCGCACUAACGAUCCCAUUUACUUCAAGACGAAUUCCUCAAUCGUCGCCUUGACUGAGUCCGUCGAAUCCGGCCAAGCAUUGACGAAGGUCAUUCCACCACAGGUCAUACCAUUUAAUAAGAAGGCCAAGGAUACCUCACCACACAUUGGCGCUCACUGAUAGGGAUUCAAUUUUUUAUUUGAAUUCCAGCGACCACCCUGGAGCCCUGAUGGUUUUUGUUAAAUUGGUUGGCGAGUCUAAUGUUGUUUUUAGGAAAGCAAAUAAGGGAGAGUGAUUGAGAAGGGUAGAUGACAAGAUGAGCUCUAAUUAUAUAGCUUAAAUUUUACCUCUGAAUUCUCAAAUGCAUACAUGGAUUCUAGAAUUUAGCACAAGAGGCUUGGGCACAUCUCUUCUCAAAAGCUUGUUGUGGUAAUCAAGAACAAAGAAAUAAAUUUUUUUCUAAUAAAAAAUAAGUAAAAAAUACUCUUUGUAAUAAAAAUAGAUCAAAUAAUUUUGUUUCAGAUAAAGAUUUUGAAAUUUGUCCUCUUUCCAAACAAACCAAACUUUAAUAUACAAAAAGCAUAUCAAAAUGAAAUUAUUUGUUUGGGGCAAAUUCCCAACAACUAGUCAUUAUGGAUAUGAGUAUGUCCUUACCAAAGUUUACGAUCUAAGUAGAACAACAUGGGUUUACUUAAUUAAAAAUAAAUCCAUGGCCUAUGAAUACAUGAGGA